Molecule: ribosomal RNA, 405 nt
Filed under: uncultured bacterium
Lineage: Bacteria
Description: bacterial SSU rRNA
Rfam family: Bacterial small subunit ribosomal RNA
Source: RNAcentral
AAUGGACGGAAAUCUGAUCCAGCCAUGCCGCGUGCAGGAAGACGGCCCUAUGGGUUGUAAACUGCUUUUGUAUGGGAGCAAUAAGGUCUACGUGUAGACCGAUGAGAGUACCAUACGAAUAAGCACCGGCUAACUCCGUGCCAGCAGCCGCGGUAAUACGGAGGGUGCAAGCGUUAUCCGGAUUUAUUGGGUUUAAAGGGUGCGUAGGCGGGAUAAUAAGUCAGUUGUGAAAGUUUGCAGCUUAACUGUAAAAUUGCCGUUAAAACUGUUAUUCUUGAGAGUAGAUAAGGUAGGCGGAAUGUGUUGUGUAGCGGUGAAAUGCAUAGAUAUAACACAGAACCCCGAUUGCGAAGGCAGCUUACCGGGCUACAUCUGACGCUGAUGCACGAAAGCGUGGGGAUCAAA